This 433-nucleotide ribosomal RNA is filed under the name uncultured bacterium. RNAcentral's name for it is "partial 16S ribosomal RNA". It matches the Rfam family "Bacterial small subunit ribosomal RNA", at positions 29 to 507 of the family's 1533-position model. The record is from RNAcentral.
AACGAACGCUGGCGGCAUGCCUAACACAUGCAAGUCGAACGAGACCUUCGGGUCUAGUGGCGCACGGGUGCGUAACGCGUGGGAACCUGCCCUUAGGUUCGGAAUAACUCCCCGUCAGGGGUGCUAAUACCGGAUAAUGUCUUCGGACCAAAGAUUUAUCGCCUUUGGAUGGGCCCGCGUUGGAUUAGCUAGUUGGUAGGGUAAAAGCCUACCAAGGCGACGAUCCAUAGCUGGUCUGAGAGGAUGAGCAGCCACACUGGGACUGAGACACGGCCCAGACUCCUACGGGAGGCAGCAGUGGGGAAUAUUGGACAAUGGGCGAAAGCCUGAUCCAGCAAUGCCGCGUGAGUGAUGAAGGCCUUAGGGUUGUAAAGCUCUUUUACCCGGGAUGAUAAUGACAGUACCGGGAGAAUAAGCUCCGGCUAACUCCGUG